This 253-nucleotide ribosomal RNA is filed under the name uncultured bacterium. Its description in RNAcentral is "partial 16S ribosomal RNA". It matches the Rfam family "Bacterial small subunit ribosomal RNA", at positions 524 to 776 of the family's 1533-position model. The record is from RNAcentral.
UACAGAGGGUGCAAGCGUUAAUCGGAGUUACUGGGCGUAAAGGGCGCGUAGGCGGUUUGAUAAGUAAGAUUUGAAAUCCCCGGGCUUAACCUGGGAACUGGAUCUUAAACUAUUAGACUAGAGUGCAGUAGAGGGUGGCGGAAUUUCCGGUGUAGCGGUGAAAUGCGUAGAGAUCGGAAGGAACAUCAGUGGCGAAGGCGACCACCUGGACUGAAACUGACGCUGAGGCGCGAAAGCGUGGGGAGCAAACAGG